RNAcentral lists this ribosomal RNA (200 nucleotides) under uncultured bacterium. RNAcentral's name for it is "partial 16S ribosomal RNA". It matches the Rfam family "Bacterial small subunit ribosomal RNA", at positions 131 to 334 of the family's 1533-position model. The record is from RNAcentral.
CGAUGGAGGGGGAUAACUACUGGAAACGGUAGCUAAUACCGCAUAACGUCGCAAGACCAAAGAGGGGACCUUCGGGCCUCUUGCCAUCGGAUGUGCCCAGAUGGGAUUAGCUAGUAGGUGGGGUAAAGGCUCACCUAGGCGACGAUCCCUAGCUGGUCUGAGAGGAUGACCAGCCACACUGGAACUGAGACACGGUCCAG